UUUAUGGAGAGUUUGAUCCUGGCUCAGGAUGAACGCUGGCGGCGUGCCUAAUACAUGCAAGUCGAGCGAACAGACAAGGAGCUUGCUCCUUUGACGUUAGCGGCGGACGGGUGAGUAACACGUGGGUAACCUACCUAUAAGACUGGGAUAACUUCGGGAAACC
RNAcentral lists this ribosomal RNA (163 nucleotides) under Staphylococcus haemolyticus. Its description in RNAcentral is "partial 16S ribosomal RNA". It matches the Rfam family "Bacterial small subunit ribosomal RNA", at positions 1 to 158 of the family's 1533-position model. The record is from RNAcentral. Lineage: Bacteria; Bacillati; Bacillota; Bacilli; Caryophanales; Staphylococcaceae.